GGGAAUACGACUGCACUCCCAACCCAAUGUGAACGUUACCAAACUGUUGCCUCGGCGGGAUCUCUGCCCCGGGUGCGUCGCAGCCCCGGACCAAGGCGCCCGCCGGAGGACCAACCAAAACUCUUAUUGUAUACCCCCUCGCGGGUUUUUUUUUAUAAUCUGAGCCUUCUCGGCGCCUCUCGUAGGCGUUUCGAAAAUGAAUCAAAACUUUCAACAACGGAUCUCUUGGUUCUGGCAUCGAUGAAGAACGCAGCGAAAUGCGAUAAGUAAUGUGAAUUGCAGAAUUCAGUGAAUCAUCGAAUCUUUGAACGCACAUUGCGCCCGCCAGUAUUCUGGCGGGCAUGCCUGUCCGAGCGUCAUUUCAACCCUCGAACCCCUCCGGGGGGUCGGCGUUGGGGAUCGGCCCUGCCUUGGCGGUGGCCGUCUCCGAAAUACAGUGGCGGUCUCGCCGCAGCCUCUCCUGCGCAGUAGUUUGCACACUCGCAUCGGGAGCGCGGCGCGUCCACAGCCGUUAAACACCCAACUUCUGAAAUGUUGACCUCGGAUCAGGUAGGAAUACCCGCUGAACUUAAGCAUAUCAAUAAGCCGGAGGAA
This 594-nucleotide ribosomal RNA is filed under the name Trichoderma sp. TRC069380. Its description in RNAcentral is "eukaryotic LSU rRNA". The stretch from base 206 to 359 matches the Rfam family "5.8S ribosomal RNA". Lineage: Eukaryota; Fungi; Ascomycota; Sordariomycetes; Hypocreales; Hypocreaceae. The record is from RNAcentral.